This 253-nucleotide ribosomal RNA is filed under the name uncultured bacterium. Its description in RNAcentral is "partial 16S ribosomal RNA". It matches the Rfam family "Bacterial small subunit ribosomal RNA", at positions 524 to 776 of the family's 1533-position model. The record is from RNAcentral.
UACAGAGGGGGCAAGCGUUAUUCGGAAUUAUUGGGCGUAAAGGGCGCGUAGGCGGCUUGGCAAGUGGAUGGUGAAAUCCCUCGGCUUAACCGAGGAACUGCCGUCCAAACUGCUUCGCUUGAGACCGGGAGAGGUGAGUGGAAUUCCCAGUGUAGCGGUGAAAUGCGUAGAUAUUGGGAGGAACAUCGGUGGCGAAAGCGGCGCGCUGGACCUCUUCUGACGCUGAGGCGCGAAAGCCAGGGGAGCGAACGGG